GACAGAGGGGGCAAGCGUUGCUCGGAAUCACUGGGCGUAAAGGGCGCGUAGGCGGGAUGGCAAGUCGGUCGUGAAAUCCUUCGGCUCAACCGAAGGACGUCGGCCGAUACUGCCGUUCUUGAGGGAUGCAGAGGAGAUUGGAAUUCCCGGUGUAGCGGUGGAAUGCGCAGAUAUCAGGAGGAACACCUAUAGCGAAGGCAGCUUGCUGGGACGUUACUGACGCUAAGGCGCGAAAGCGUGGGGAGCGAACAGG
RNAcentral lists this ribosomal RNA (253 nucleotides) under uncultured bacterium. Its description in RNAcentral is "partial 16S ribosomal RNA". It matches the Rfam family "Bacterial small subunit ribosomal RNA", at positions 524 to 776 of the family's 1533-position model. The record is from RNAcentral.